UUAAGUUAAAAUUUAAAGUAUUCCCUGCCCUAUGAUUAUUUAAAUGGCUGCAGUAUUCUGACUGUGCAAAGGUAGCAUAAUAAAUAGCUUUUUAAUUGAAAGCUUGUAUGAAUGGGUUAAUGAAGGAUUAGUUUUAUUAUAUUUAUAAUUUGAAUUUAAUUUUUAAGUUAAAAAGCUUAAUUUUUUUUUUGGGACGAAAAGACCCUGUAGAAUUUUAUAUCUUUUUCUUUUAUUAUAUUUUUAGAAAUUUUUUUUUUUAUGAGAAUAAGUUAUUUAGCUGGGGCGGCUGUUAAAUUUAAACUUUAACUUAUUAUUUCAUUAAUUUAUGAUAUUGUUGAUCCUAGAAGAUUAUAAGAAAAAAUUACCUCAGGGAUAACAGCGUAAUUUUAAUGGAAAGUUCUUAUUAAUAUUAAAGUUUGCGACCUCGAUGUUGAAUUAAGAUUAUAUUGGGGGGUAGGUUCUUCAAGUUUAAGUCUGUUCGACUUUUAAAUUCUUACAUGAUCUG
RNAcentral lists this ribosomal RNA (505 nucleotides) under Idiocerinae gen. n. sp. 1 QX-2018. Its description in RNAcentral is "partial large subunit ribosomal RNA". It matches the Rfam family "Bacterial large subunit ribosomal RNA", at positions 1833 to 2607 of the family's 2925-position model. The record is from RNAcentral. Lineage: Eukaryota; Metazoa; Arthropoda; Insecta; Hemiptera; Cicadellidae.